GUUAGAUAAUCACGUAGCAAGAAGUACUUCAAUUAGUGAUACACAAUUCGAACUUCGUUCAUAUAAAAAUUAAUUUAGUUUUAUCACUAUAGUGAGGACAGAGAGAAUGAAUAUAUCAUUACUUAUCCUUCUUGUGGCCUCAAGCGUAUAUUCCACACCAGAUUCCCUACCAUUUCCUGAAGGGUUUUUGUUUGGUGUAUCAACUGCCGCGUAUCAAGUAGAAGGUUCACUGAUGAUGGACUGAUAAGUCCGAAAACGUUUUGAACGUAAUCCGUUUGGAUUUUUAAAAAAAAUUUUUAUAAUUUUUAUUAAAUAUACCAACUACACUAGGGAGUUUUACUUCAUGUUAAUUUUUUAAUUAUAUUUCCCGCAACGCGACGUGUCCGCUGUUUCAAUUCCGUUACAUCCUCAUUCAGUAACUUAGCCACAGUCAAUUAGUGGUUUAAUCAUUUAGUUACCUUACCUCACGUGAAGUAUAUACCAGCAAUAUUAUUAGCAACUUUGUCAUGGUUCACUCAUAGAGUGUGCUGUUUUUGUUGAAGAAAACCACUAUCUGAGUUGACAACAUCCAGGAUUCUCCAAUAAGACUUACCCACCACAGCAGCCAACUAGCUUUGUUGUGCCAAAAGGAUUUUUCCUAAGGACUUUCAUUUUUUUUAACCAUCGGCUGUUGUACAAGAUAAGUUCUUAUUUAUUUUAAUUAUUUACUUUAGGUAAUCUAGAUUUGUUACUCUGUAAACUAAUUGUAUAUAUACAAAUAGGUGAACUAAGUGGUACAUAUUUUCGUGAUAGAUAGGUUUUAGGUCGUUGUUUUUCUUUCUUUGGUUCUAUAUAAUUAGUAAUUUGCUUAAAUAAAUCAAAUCAGGUCUUCCUUUUUAAUAAUAACUAUAAAUCAUUGUAUCUUAAAAUUUAAUAGGGAAUCGGGGGUAAAAUUUUGUCGAGGUUUUAAAAUAGGGAAUAUGUCUUGUAGGUUUUUACAUUGUAUAUAGAGUCACUGACCCACUCAUUUAUAUAACUAAUUUUGCUAGGUGAGAUACAUUUUUUUUGCAACCUAGCUGUUAUUGUAGUGUACCUAUCUCACUCUAGGCUAGUUCAAUUUAGGAAAUAAUUACUAACUUUUUAGUUGUAAGGACUUAGUGCUAUUCUGACGGACUUUUGAUUUGGAUUUUGAUUUUAAUACCUUUGCUUGGCCAGUGAUAGUGGAUAAUUGCUUGUUAAGUGGCCUUUGCGGUCUUAUUUGAUUUUUCCCCAUCCACUAUCACUGUUAUUACGUUGCGUUAUAUGUAAAUUGUUAAUAUUUAACAUUUAUUAUUAAUAUAUUUGUAUGUAUUAA
Molecule: long non-coding RNA, 1333 nt
Organism: Diabrotica virgifera virgifera (western corn rootworm)
Lineage: Eukaryota; Metazoa; Arthropoda; Insecta; Coleoptera; Chrysomelidae
Exons: 4
Source: RefSeq, a predicted model, not a curated record